RNAcentral lists this ribosomal RNA (484 nucleotides) under uncultured bacterium. RNAcentral's name for it is "partial 16S ribosomal RNA". It matches the Rfam family "Bacterial small subunit ribosomal RNA", at positions 30 to 507 of the family's 1533-position model. The record is from RNAcentral.
AUUGAACGCUGGCGGCAGGCCUAACACAUGCAAGUCGAGCGGAUGAAGGGAGCUUUCUCCUGGAUUCAGCGUCGGACGGGUGAGUAAUGCCUAUGAAUCUCCCUGGUAGUGGGGGAUAACGUCCGGAAACGGGCGCUAAUACCGCAUCCUUCCUGAGGGCGAAAGUUGGGGAUCUUCGGACCUCACGCUAUCAGAUGAUCCUAGGUCGGAUUAGCUAGUUGGUGGGGUAAAGGCCUACCAAGGCGACGAUCCGUAACUGGUCUUAGAGGAUGAUCGGUAAAACGGGAACUGAGAAACGGUCAAGACGCCUACGGGAGGAAGCAGUGGGGAAUAUUGGACAAUGGGCGAAAGCCUGAUCCAGAAAUGCCGCGUGUGUGAAGAAGGUCUUCGGAUGGUAAAGCACGUUAAGUUGGGAGGAAGGGCAGUAAGUUAAUACCUUGAUGUUUUGACGGUACCAAAAGAAUAAGCACCGGCUAACUUCGUG